This 549-nucleotide ribosomal RNA is filed under the name uncultured bacterium. Its description in RNAcentral is "bacterial SSU rRNA". It matches the Rfam family "Bacterial small subunit ribosomal RNA", at positions 355 to 895 of the family's 1533-position model. The record is from RNAcentral.
UAGGGAAUCUUCGGCAAUGGACGGAAGUCUGACCGAGCAACGCCGCGUGAGUGAAGAAGGUUUUCGGAUCGUAAAGCUCUGUUGUAAGAGAAGAACGAGUGUGAGAGUGGAAAGUUCACACUGUGACGGUAUCUUACCAGAAAGGGACGGCUAACUACGUGCCAGCAGCCGCGGUAAUACGUAGGUCCCGAGCGUUGUCCGGAUUUAUUGGGGCGUAAAGCGAGCGCAGGCGGUUAGAUAAGUCUGAAGUUAAAGGCUGUGGCUUAACCAUAGUACGCUUUGGAAACUGUUUAACUUGAGUGCAAGAGGGGAGAGUGGAAUUCCAUGUGUAGCGGUGAAAUGCGUAGAUAUAUGGAGGAACACCGGUGGCGAAAGCGGCUCUCUGGCUUGUAACUGACGCUGAGGCUCGAAAGCGUGGGGAGCAAACAGGAUUAGAUACCCUGGUAGUCCACGCCGUAACGAUGAGUGCUAGGUGUUAGACCCUUUCCGGGGUUUAGUGCCGUAGCUAACGCAUUAAGCACUCCGCCUGGGGAGUACGACCGCAAGGUU